CAACAGAGAGAAGCAAUACCGCGAGGUGGGGCAAAAACUUCAAAAAUAGGUCUCAGUUCGGACUGUAGGCUGCAACUCGCCUACACGAAGUUGGAAUUGCUAGUAAUCGUGGAUCAGCAUGCCACGGUGAAUACGUUCCCGGGUCUUGUACACACCGCCCGUCACACCAUGGGAGCUGGUAACACCCGAAGUCAGUAGUCUAACCGCAAGGAGGACGCUGCCGAAGGUGGGAUUAGCGACUGGGGUGAAGUCGUAACAAGGUACC
RNAcentral lists this ribosomal RNA (265 nucleotides) under uncultured bacterium. RNAcentral describes it as "partial 16S ribosomal RNA". It matches the Rfam family "Bacterial small subunit ribosomal RNA", at positions 1237 to 1500 of the family's 1533-position model. The record is from RNAcentral.